RNAcentral lists this ribosomal RNA (253 nucleotides) under uncultured bacterium. Its description in RNAcentral is "partial 16S ribosomal RNA". It matches the Rfam family "Bacterial small subunit ribosomal RNA", at positions 524 to 776 of the family's 1533-position model. The record is from RNAcentral.
UACGAGGGGUGCAAGCGUUGCUCGGAAUUAUUGGGCGUAAAGGGUAGGUAGGUGGUCUCAUUUGACUAGGGUGAAAGCCUUGAGCUUAACUCAAGAAGUGCCCUAGAAACGGUGAGACUGGAGUCUUGGAGAGGGUCGUGGAAUUCCCGGUGUAGCGGUGAAAUGCGUAGAGAUCGGGAGGAACACCAGCGGCGAAGGCGGCGACCUGGACAAGUACUGACACUCAACUACGAAAGCGUGGGGAGCAAACAGG